UCUGCCUCAGCCUCCUGAGUUCUGAGAUUACAGGCAGGUACCACCACAUCCAGCUCUGCAAUCCAGUGGACAUUUGAUACCUGGAGCACAUCUCGCUUUGGAUGAACCCUUCCCCAGCACCUAAAGAUCUCCUGUGCCUGGAGGCUACCAUGCGUAGCAGUGCUGGCCUAGGUGCUACCUAGAGCCAGGGAGCUGGGCUGAUGUCACGGAGGAACAAGCAGAGAUAGAGAAAAGAGGACCUGAGUAGAGAGCAUCUACACAGAAGAAGAGGAAACGGAGGCCUCAGGAGGGAGGCCUAGUUUGGGGCCAAGUGGGUCCCAAGGCGUCUGUGGGUUCUCCCAGGCUGUAUGCAGGCUGAGUGUCCCUUACCUGAAAUACUGGGGACUAGAAAUGUUUCCUGUGUCCGAGUGGAUUUGGAUUAUUUGCUCGGACAACCAGUUGAGCAUCCCCAAUCUGAAAAUCUGAAUUCCGAAAAGCCAUGAGAAAGUCCUGGAUUUCAGAUGAGGGACCUUAGCCUGUAUCUACCCAGCAGACUGUGCGUCAGGCUGACCUUGACUCUUCCGGGGAAGGGAAAAGGAACUUCUUUAUCCCUGGCUUGCUGGAGGCCUCCACCCAGUGAGGGUCACUUUCUCUCCUCAGAUGGGCCUCUGCUGGAAAAACUGGUGAACGUUAGGGAGCAAGUGAUCAAGGAAUUCAAGAAAGUUUUAAGAUCCUGUGAAUUAAAAGAGUUGCUCAAAGAAGAGGUCUUGGACUGGUUGCAUUGCCAGAAAACCAGUCCCAAAGGUGUCAAAGCCAAGUGCUGCUUCGUGGCCCAGACGUGGCUUUCACAUUCUGAAACCCACCGUCACUUCUGUUAAGUGGGAAGCACCUUCUGGAGCUUAACAGCACCCUCAUAUCACGAUGGCAAGUGCUGGAAAAGACUUCAUUCCUAGCCGUUGCUGUUCCCAGGACGCCCAGAAAGAUGCGCUCCAUUCAUUCAUCCGCUCAGAGAAUGCACACAACGAGCCCACACUGACCCGUCCAGACUGGUGCGGUAGCAGCGCUGGGCCACUGGUGCCGCCCCUGCUCUCCGCCGCUCACCCCUGUCAUUCAGAUCUCAGACCUCUCAGAGCGGCCUCUCCCACCGGUCUGUAAAGACGCAUUGUGACCAACCUGUGUCCACAACCUUCCACCUUGGCCUCACCUGUUUUGUUCUUUGCCAGAAGAGAUCACAGACGUCAGGCAAUUCCACCCAUUCGUAGUGCUGCCUCUGAAAACAAGGGCGUCUUUUACAUAACCACAGUGCCAUUCCCGUAUCCAUCAAAUCUAAGGAUGAUUCUGCAGUUGAAAAGAAUUUAAGUCCCUCUAUCAGCUCCCCUGUCAACAGAUUUUUUUUUUUUCCAGGACUGGGGUUUGAACUCAGGACCUUAUGCUUGCAAGGCAGGUGGCUGCACCACUGAGCUAAAUCCCCAGCCCCACAACAGAAUAUUUUUCACAGCUGCUUUACUCAAAUCAGGAUUCAGUAAAAGGCACAU
Molecule: long non-coding RNA, 1514 nt
Organism: Fukomys damarensis (Damara mole-rat)
Lineage: Eukaryota; Metazoa; Chordata; Mammalia; Rodentia; Bathyergidae
Exons: 3
Source: RefSeq, a predicted model, not a curated record